RNAcentral lists this unclassified non-coding RNA (520 nucleotides) under uncultured Entrophospora. Its description in RNAcentral is "SSU rRNA". It matches the Rfam family "Eukaryotic small subunit ribosomal RNA", at positions 569 to 1087 of the family's 1831-position model. Lineage: Eukaryota; Fungi; Glomeromycota; Glomeromycetes; Entrophosporales; Entrophosporaceae. The record is from RNAcentral.
AGCAGCCGCGGUAAUUCCAGCUCCAAUAGCGUAUAUUAAAGUUGUUGCAGUUAAAAGCUCGUAGUUGAAUUUCGGGAUUGGCGCAUCGGUCGUGCCUCACGGGGUAUGAACUGGUGCAGUCAAUUUCUCACCUUCUGGAGAACCGCGAUGUCCUUAAUUGGAUGCCGCGGGGAACCAGGACCUUUACUUUGAAAAAAUUGAGUGUUUAAAGCAGGCAUUUUUGCUUGAAUACAUUAGCAUGGAAUAAUAAAAUAGGACGGCAUGGUUCUAUUUUGUUGGUUUCUAGGACCACCGUAAUGAUUAAUAGGGAUAGUUGGGGGCAUUAGUAUUCAAUUGUCAGAGGUGAAAUUCUUGGAUUUAUUGAAGACUAACUACUGCGAAAGCAUUUGCCAAGGAUGUUUUCAUUAAUCAAGAACGAAAGUUAGGGAUCGAAGACGAUCAGAUACCGUCGUAGUCUUAACCAUAAACUAUGCCGACUAGGAAUCAGACGAUGUUAAUUUUUAAUGAUUCGUUUGGCUAC